Molecule: unclassified non-coding RNA, 346 nt
Filed under: soil metagenome
Description: partial contains 5.8S ribosomal RNA, internal transcribed spacer 2, and large subunit ribosomal RNA
Rfam family: 5.8S ribosomal RNA (bases 1-120)
Source: RNAcentral
GAUGAAGAACGUAGCGAAAUGCGAUAAGUAAUGUGAAUUGCAGAAUUCCGUGAAUCAUCGAAUCUUUGAACGCAUAUUGCGCCCUCUGGUAUUCCGGGGGGCAUGCCUGUCCGAGCGUCAUUGCUGCCCUCAAGCACGGCUUGUGUGUUGGGCCCCGUCCUCCGAUUCCGGGGGACGGGCCCGAAAGGCAGCGGCGGCACCGCGUCCGGUCCUCGAGCGUAUGGGGCUUUGUCACCCGCUCUGUAGGCCCGGCCGGCGCUUGCCGAUCAACCCAAAUUUUUAUCCAGGUUGACCUCGGAUCAGGUAGGGAUACCCGCUGAACUUAAGCAUAUCAAUAAGCGGAGGA